GACGAACGCUGGCGGCGUGCCUAACACAUGCAAGUCGAACGGAAAGGCCCUGCUUUUGCGGGGUGCUCGAGUGGCGAACGGGUGAGUAACACGUGAGUAACCUGCCCUUGACUUUGGGAUAACUUCAGGAAACUGGGGCUAAUACCGGAUAGGAGCUCCUGCUGCAUGGUGGGGGUUGGAAAGUUUCGGCGGUUGGGGAUGGGCUCGCGGCUUAUCAGCUUGUUGGUGGGGUAGUGGCUUACCAAGGCUUUGACGGGUAGCCGGCCUGGGAGGGUGACCGGCCACAUUGGGACUGCGGUACGGCCCAGACUCGUACGGGAGGCAGCAGUGGGGAAUAUUGCACAAUGAGCGGAAGCCUGAUGCAGCAACGCCGCGUGCGGGAUGACGGCCUUCGGGUUGUAAACCGCUUUCGCCUGUGACGAAGCGUGAGUGACGGUAAUGGGUAAAGAAGCACCGGCUAACUACGUG
RNAcentral lists this ribosomal RNA (468 nucleotides) under uncultured bacterium. RNAcentral describes it as "partial 16S ribosomal RNA". It matches the Rfam family "Bacterial small subunit ribosomal RNA", at positions 28 to 507 of the family's 1533-position model. The record is from RNAcentral.